RNAcentral lists this unclassified non-coding RNA (2926 nucleotides) under Hevea brasiliensis (rubber tree). The record is from RNAcentral. Lineage: Eukaryota; Viridiplantae; Streptophyta; Magnoliopsida; Malpighiales; Euphorbiaceae.
ACUAAGCCAGCCAAAUUAUACAAUUUGUGGUUAUGUAAGUUUCUCAGAAAAUGAAAUUCAUAAUUGAGUUAUUUACCAAGUAAUUUGGUGUGAUUUGCAUAUUUUAUUCACCUACUUAACCAUUUUGUGUUUGCUGAACUGCAUGGCAUGAGAUUGCUAGGGGUCUAUGGAUAUGAAAAUGCACCAAUCUGCAUAUUUCUGCAUAUUUGUGUGCAUGUGAGUGAGAAAUCCAACCUUGAAGUGGAGAUUAUAAGCAUUUGGUUCAGUUAGAUUAUGAUCAUUCAGCAUUUGUCUCAACAUUUGUUGCUGUUCGCACAGUGAGCAGUGAUUGAUGUCAUGUUUAUGUCUCAAGUCUUGGGGAGCUCCCAACUUCCUUCUUAAUACUUUUGGAUUGCUGUUGGUGAGCAAUGGUAUGUCCUUUUUACAGAACUUGGCUUUGUUUUUCAUUUUAAUUCUGCUUGUAUCAUUGGAACAGAGUAGCGCGGCUUGUGGCAAUGGUCCAUUAAGCCAGCUUUGCACUCUUUAAUAAGCAUGUUCAAUUGUUGAUUGAAGACGUGUAUUCACAUGGAGUAUCACGUUGGUUGUUUGUUUUAUUGCUGUGGGGUAAAGAACUCCCUUAUCUGCACCACGCUUCUAGAGCCUUCUGAUAUUUACAACUGAAAUGAACCGCAUCUGAAAGAUGAAGAAGUACCUUGGUAUUUUCUUAUUUAAUUUUGGUGGCUUGUUCUUACUAUACCUUGAAGUGCAAGAUUUAAAUAAUUGCAGGUGGACAGUGAUUCUUUUACUUUUGAGUUUUAAGGGGUUAUAUAAAAUUAUGAAAGCUGAUAUGGACAAAUAAUCGACUCUGUAGAAGAAUCUCUGGAAGACAAGAAAAUAUAAACGUAUACUUAAUCAAAUAUUAAAAAAAGAAAAAAAAGAAUAAAUAUCAAAUAUUUACUGCUCAUUUCAGUUGUGGGCAAUUUCAGCCCUGAGGCUUUUCUUCUCGCAUGCCUGAGCUGCUUCUCCAGCAUGAAUCCAAUACUUUGCGAAUCUAUAGUGACCAUUUGCCAAGGCUUCCAUAGCUUGGGGAAGAAUGUAAACGAGGUCAAGCGUCGUUCUAGCUCAGGGUCUGUGGCCUGGUGGAUAAGCUUUUGUAUGUAAUUUGGCGUAUUAGUUGCAUUAGACAGGGCGAUAUUACCUGUUAUGGAAGCAAGACCCUUAAGGCCUUGACAUCCGCAUUAGAGCUUUGAGAAUUAUUUUGCAGAGACGAGACACAAAGAACGUAAUAGGGUGUCUUCUUGCAAGUUUCCCUAUCAAAUUGUCGCUUUCUAUCAUUGGUGUAAAGGGAAAAAAGAAUGAGAAAGGUAGGCAAAGAAGAGACUUAACGACUCUCUUUCUUAAAUGAACUAGAAUUGGUUGCAUGUGUAAUGACAAUUUGCCAAAUAUUUCCAUGCCAUGCUCAGAUCAUUAUAGGUUAGUUUCUGUUAGUAUGUUAUGCUAGUUUUGAAUGUUAUGCAUUUAGGUUAAAAGCAAAAAUUGCUUGCAUCAGUUGUCAGUAAUUUACUUGUUGAAUAGACACCAUUGCUUAAUUAUCUGGUUUACGUUGUUCCAUCAUUAAAGAUGCGGACCCUUUUGUCUGACAAGUUAUGUGGAGCUGAUUCAAAUGAAACAAGGGACUAAACAUUACUUGAAAUAAAACAAGGCCAAUGAAUUUCAAGCUCUUUUUUUCUUUUUAAUUGGUGUCUUGUUUUUUGCUUGAAAUCUUCUGGAGAGCUUAAUUGCCUGCCUUUCCGAGUUUCAGGUACUAGGUCGUCCGUAUUAAAUAGGCAGACUGUUAUCGUUUGGCCUGUUGGUUUUGUACACGAUUUUGAUUCAAGACAAAUAUAUUAUACCCCUGGCACAGGCACUACCCAGAAGGGGUAAACAGUGAUCCUGAAAAGAGAAUCUUGCUUUUGGCUUUCAUUCUUGAUGAUGUUCUCUCUUAAGGAAUAAAAUGAAUUUAGAGAUUCCAGGAGGAGAUAAGCAAAGAUGAGGGAAAGAGAAUCUUAUGGCGUAUGCCAUUAGAUGUCUAAGAAGUGGAUUGGCUUUAAGAUAAAAAGAUGGCUUACAGGAUAGCAGUAACUUGAAAGAUGGAAGAGACAUCAAACUGCUUUAUACAUGAUAAUCUUGGAUGAUGCCUAUGCUACUGCUAUUUGCUAAUACCCUAAUACGAAAUUUGUUAGAUCUCUGCAUAAUAUAAAUAUGCUUUUACUUAUUUAUUGGUUUGUUGUUUGAGAAAUCCAACGCUUCUAGCUGUUUUUAUUUAUUUAUUUAUUUUAUCAAUAUCAACCACCCGAUUCUGUUUGUGGCCAGCUUUAUAUUCUAUUGUGGCCACUUCUUUCUUUCCAAAAUAUGAACUUGGCUCGAUGGCGAUGGAUAAUUCCUUCUCCUUCUAGUCCCUGUACUUUUCUUUUUCUCUUUUUGGAUUCAAGGUAUUAAGGCUUCUGGGAAUAGUCCAGAAGAGGCAGAGCUGGCCUGUAUCUAAUGCACAUGUUGAUCCAAUGCCAGAUACAGAAUUAGAAAUUAAACUUAAACCAGAUAAUAUUACUAGGAAAACGUAAAAAGCAGCAAAUUCUGCAGUAAAAUUCAGAUAAAACACCCUUAAUGGUAAGAAUCCACUUCUGGGAUCCAAUUACGAGAAUAGGCUUACUUAAGAAGAUGAUACAGAUUAAAGAUACUAAAUUGCUAAUCCUACGUUUGAAACUACUGCUCCAAGCACAAUAUCUUAGGCAGAGACAUUAAGACGGUGUAGUUUAAUUAAUUACCUAUAAAAUCCUGCAAACUACAUUUAAUCAGCCCUUCUGCAAUAACUUGAGAAUGGCCACAGCAACAUCACAGAGAUUGCUCAAAAGCUUGUUCCUUUCAGUUAACGGGGACUGACUUGAGCCAGAGAAGUUCUUUUCACAGU